Molecule: small RNA, 388 nt
Filed under: Priestia megaterium
Lineage: Bacteria; Bacillati; Bacillota; Bacilli; Caryophanales; Bacillaceae
Description: cspA
Rfam family: cspA thermoregulator
Source: RNAcentral
UCCUUGCAAUUAUCAUUAACUUUUGCUAUUCUAUAAGAAGAAUUAUUUUUGUUCGGCAACAAUCGAUAGGUGAAUACUUUCGUCUUAAAGAUUUUGAUCAUGAGCAAGGAUAGUAAUACAAUGUGUGCAUAGCACACGAGGAGGCAACAUUCAUGGAAAAAGGUACAGUAAAAUGGUUUAACGCAGAAAAAGGUUUCGGAUUUAUCGAGCGCGAAAACGGCGACGAUGUAUUCGUACAUUUCUCAGCAAUCCAAAGCGAAGGAUUCAAAUCUUUAGACGAAGGUCAAGCUGUAACAUUCGACGUUGAAGAAGGUCAACGCGGACCUCAAGCUGCUAACGUUCAAAAAGCAUAAGUAGAAAAAGACUCUGAAAUCAGAGUCUUUUUUUU